Molecule: long non-coding RNA, 1914 nt
Filed under: Chrysemys picta bellii (western painted turtle)
Lineage: Eukaryota; Metazoa; Chordata; Testudines; Emydidae
Description: lncRNA (ENSCPBG00000027654.1)
Source: RNAcentral
UGCCAUGGGACUCUUUCUGCUGUGUAGACGGACCCACGGUCACUUCAUGUAGGGAGACAGAGCAUUGCAAGCCCUUCCCUGGACUGAUGGAUCCCCUCCACCCCACCCUGCCUCCCCUGACUCGUCCACUUCUGUUGUUCCCUCUGGACAUGGCAGGGCCAUUUGAAAGGUUAGCUGCCCAACUGCCCUUUUAUUGCAUUGGACUUGUUCUGACAGUUGUUCCUGAGUCCCAAGAGGAACCCGCCACGCCUGCCGUCAGUGUGAGGGGAGUCCUGCGGGUCAAACCCUGCCCAGGGCUCCGAGGACAUAGGGUUUCGAUGACAGGCUGACGUCUGCACUGCUNGCAGAGUCCUGAAAGGACAAACCAAGGAGUCCUUUGCUGCUGCUCUGCGUCCAUCCCAGCUCUUCGUCCUGGGGCAGGGAGAACAGCUGGCUUUCCUCAGGCCGUAGCGCGGCUCCCUUCGGUCCUGGAGUGUCUGCUAGGAGUGCAGGGUGAGAGUGUUUUGGUUACGCUAGCUGAGGGGGCGUCUGGCUACCCAUCGCCGCAGAGCUUUCGGUGCUGAUUCUGCAAGCUGGAGAUGCUGGAACUGGCAUGGAGUGGGGGGGGGAACAGAACAGAGAAGGCAGAGGGCCACGUGGGGCACAGGUAGAGCGUAGCCCUGGUCUCUGGAGGCAGCUUGUCUAAAACUCAGGCUGGCAGAAAACAUCUUCAAGUGAAGGUGGCCUCCGGAAAUGCCUUUAAAAGCCAAAUCUCACUGCAGAGCUUGAUCAGCUGGGGACAGAUGCCUAGAGAGAAUGAGGCCUCAUCCAAACCAUUUCCUCUGCCAAUCUAGAUGUUCAGCACAAGGCUGCUGGCGUACGCUCCAGUGCUCUGACGGGUAAUCGGCUCGGGGUUAUCUGCAGUGUUCGGCCCUGAGAGCGCAUAAAAUCAACUCCGUGAGCUUGGGUGGCCUUGCCCCUGUCUUCUCUGGGAAGUGACUGACCCGAAGGGCUAGGGCUUCAGAAUGGCGUGAGUGCAUUUUUGUACACACGCACACACACACACACACGCAUGCACAGUGAUAACUAUGCACAUAUACCUUGUGUACAGAAUUGCACACACGUGUUUCUGAAUCUGGCUGCAAAGGUUUUGUUUACCUUUACGAUUACUUGAACUAACAAUGUUUCUGCUCUUACGUUCCCCCACCCCCUGCCCCGCUGCCCUCUCCUCCACAUACGUGGGGUGAGGGAGUAUUUAUUGUAAUCGUUUUAUUUUGUGAUGGUUUAAAGCUAGUUUUCUGGCAGGGGCCAAUCACAUUGGUACACCUCCCCAUGUUUUUUGCCCUCUGGGUCAGACUGUCAAACAGCUUUAUUUAGACUUUACCACAGGUGGCUGGCUACCUUGGUCACGUGCCCCCCGCCCCCCAGUUACUGUUGUGGGGGGCAAGGGGGUGUUGCUGCAUGUGUUGAUGUUGCCACAUGCUCGUACUUUCACAACCUGUAUCCAGCACGCCUGGACUGUCACAAAUCAAUAUCCCUUUGAAACAAGAGCUUGUUGCAGGAUAAAGGUGGGCUACUGAUUUUCAAAAUGUGGUAGCCAGCUGGGGGAGCCGGGGGUGAAGGAGCCUGGGGAUUGAUAAUGUAAUAUAAAGUAUUGGGGGAGAAAUGGACAAAACCCCAGGCAAAAUGGCAACUGUAAUUGGAACUAGGAUAUAAGCUCUUGUGCGAUGUACUUGUGAAUGUGUGUACAUGUCCGUUAGACUAUCCAAAGCUCUGCUGAGAAAUCAAUGUAGGAUUAUAUUUGAAAGAGAAAUCUAUAUAUUUUUUAAAUACAGAACUUAAAAGCUGUAACCACUUUUUGUUCCCAGGGGCCUGUAAUCUUUGUCUGUUGGUGGAUGUAAUAAAUGUCAUUGGGGCUCUGCCGUGGCUGUUUCC